This 1962-nucleotide ribosomal RNA is filed under the name human gut metagenome. Its description in RNAcentral is "bacterial LSU rRNA". It matches the Rfam family "Bacterial large subunit ribosomal RNA", at positions 1 to 1990 of the family's 2925-position model. The record is from RNAcentral.
UUAAGCGACUAAGCGUACACGGUGGAUGCCCUGGCAGUCAGAGGCGAUGAAGGACGUGCUAAUCUGCGAUAAGCGUCGGUAAGGUGAUAUGAACCGUUAUAACCGGCGAUUUCCGAAUGGGGAAACCCAGUGUGUUUCGACACACUAUCAUUAACUGAAUCCAUAGGUUAAUGAGGCGAACCGGGGGAACUGAAACAUCUAAGUACCCCGAGGAAAAGAAAUCAACCGAGAUUCCCCCAGUAGCGGCGAGCGAACGGGGAGCAGCCCAGAGCCUGAAUCAGUGUGUGUGUUAGUGGAAGCGUCUGGAAAGGCGCGCGAUACAGGGUGACAGCCCCGUACACAAAAAUGCACAUACUGUGAGCUCGAUGAGUAGGGCGGGACACGUGGUAUCCUGUCUGAAUAUGGGGGGACCAUCCUCCAAGGCUAAAUACUCCUGACUGACCGAUAGUGAACCAGUACCGUGAGGGAAAGGCGAAAAGAACCCCGGCGAGGGGAGUGAAAAAGAACCUGAAACCGUGUACGUACAAGCAGUGGGAGCCUCUUAAUGGGGUGACUGCGUACCUUUUGUAUAAUGGGUCAGCGACUUAUAUUCUGUAGCAAGGUUAACCGAAUAGGGGAGCCGAAGGGAAACCGAGUCUUAACUGGGCGUUAAGUUGCAGGGUAUAGACCCGAAACCCGGUGAUCUAGCCAUGGGCAGGUUGAAGGUUGGGUAACACUAACUGGAGGACCGAACCGACUAAUGUUGAAAAAUUAGCGGAUGACUUGUGGCUGGGGGUGAAAGGCCAAUCAAACCGGGAGAUAGCUGGUUCUCCCCGAAAGCUAUUUAGGUAGCGCCUCGUGAAUUCAUCUCCGGGGGUAGAGCACUGUUUCGGCAAGGGGGUCAUCCCGACUUACCAACCCGAUGCAAACUGCGAAUACCGGAGAAUGUUAUCACGGGAGACACACGGCGGGUGCUAACGUCCGUCGUGAAGAGGGAAACAACCCAGACCGCCAGCUAAGGUCCCAAAGUCAUGGUUAAGUGGGAAACGAUGUGGGAAGGCCCAGACAGCCAGGAUGUUGGCUUAGAAGCAGCCAUCAUUUAAAGAAAGCGUAAUAGCUCACUGGUCGAGUCGGCCUGCGCGGAAGAUGUAACGGGGCUAAACCAUGCACCGAAGCUGCGGCAGCGACACUAUGUGUUGUUGGGUAGGGGAGCGUUCUGUAAGCCUGCGAAGGUGUACUGUGAGGUAUGCUGGAGGUAUCAGAAGUGCGAAUGCUGACAUAAGUAACGAUAAAGCGGGUGAAAAGCCCGCUCGCCGGAAGACCAAGGGUUCCUGUCCAACGUUAAUCGGGGCAGGGUGAGUCGACCCCUAAGGCGAGGCCGAAAGGCGUAGUCGAUGGGAAACAGGUUAAUAUUCCUGUACUUGGUGUUACUGCGAAGGGGGGACGGAGAAGGCUAUGUUGGCCGGGCGACGGUUGUCCCGGUUUAAGCGUGUAGGCUGGUUUUCCAGGCAAAUCCGGAAAAUCAAGGCUGAGGCGUGAUGACGAGGCACUACGGUGCUGAAGCAACAAAUGCCCUGCUUCCAGGAAAAGCCUCUAAGCAUCAGGUAACAUCAAAUCGUACCCCAAACCGACACAGGUGGUCAGGUAGAGAAUACCAAGGCGCUUGAGAGAACUCGGGUGAAGGAACUAGGCAAAAUGGUGCCGUAACUUCGGGAGAAGGCACGCUGAUAUGUAGGUGAAGUCCCUUGCGGAUGGAGCUGAAAUCAGUCGAAGAUACCAGCUGGCUGCAACUGUUUAUUAAAAACACAGCACUGUGCAAACACGAAAGUGGACGUAUACGGUGUGACGCCUGCCCGGUGCCGGAAGGUUAAUUGAUGGGGUUAGCGGUAACGCGAAGCUCUUGAUCGAAGCCCCGGUAAACGGCGGCCGUAACUAUAACGGUCCUAAGGUAGCGAAAUUCCUUGUCGGGUAAGUUCCGACCUG